Molecule: ribosomal RNA, 448 nt
Filed under: uncultured bacterium
Lineage: Bacteria
Description: bacterial SSU rRNA
Rfam family: Bacterial small subunit ribosomal RNA
Source: RNAcentral
UGCCAGACUCCUACGGGAGGCAGCAGUGGGGAAUAUUGCACAAUGGGGGAAACCCUGAUGCAGCAACGCCGCGUGAGUGAAGAAGUCAUUCGUGAUGUAAAGCUCUAUCAGCAGGGAAGAAAAUGACGGUACCUGAGUAAGAAGCCCCGGCUAACUACGUGCCAGCAGCCGCGGUAAUACGUAGGGGGCAAGCGUUAUCCGGAUUUACUGGGUGUAAAGGGAGCGUAGACGGCCAGACAAGUCUGAAGUGAAAGGCCGGGGCCCAACCCCGGGACUGCAUUGGAAACUGCGAGGCUGGAGUGUCGGAGAGGCAGGCGGAAUUCCUAGUGUAGCGGUGAAAUGCGUAGAUAUUAGAAGGGACACCAGUGGCGAAGGCGGCCUGCUGGACGAUGACUGACGCUGAGGCUCGAAAGCGUGGGGAGCAAACAGGAUUAGAUACCCUUGUAGA